GGAUGAACGCUGGCGGCGUGCCUAAUACAUGCAAGUCGAGCGAACAGACGAGGAGCUUGCUCCUCUGACGUUAGCGGCGGACGGGUGAGUAACACGUGGAUAACCUACCUAUAAGACUGGGAUAACUUCGGGAAACCGGAGCUAAUACCGGAUAAUAUAUUGAACCGCAUGGUUCAAUAGUGAAAGACGGUUUUGCUGUCACUUAUAGAUGGAUCCGCGCCGCAUUAGCUAGUUGGUAAGGUAACGGCUUACCAAGGCGACGAUGCGUAGCCGACCUGAGACAGAGAGCAGCCAGCCGUGAAGUGUGUCCCGCUCUAGGCGCCUGCGGGAAGGAGCAGUCGGGCAUCUUCCAUAAUGGGCGACAGCUCGACAGACUAUGUCCUCAUGAGUGAAGAAAGUUGUCGGAUACUAACACCCUCUUAUUAGGAACGAACAAAAGUGUAAGUAAAUACCCCCGCCCUGACGCUACCUAAUCGAAAAGCCAACACUAACCGCAU
RNAcentral lists this ribosomal RNA (497 nucleotides) under uncultured bacterium. RNAcentral describes it as "partial 16S ribosomal RNA". It matches the Rfam family "Bacterial small subunit ribosomal RNA", at positions 27 to 506 of the family's 1533-position model. The record is from RNAcentral.